This 850-nucleotide ribosomal RNA is filed under the name Methanoculleus sp. enrichment culture clone BAMC-2. Its description in RNAcentral is "bacterial SSU rRNA". It matches the Rfam family "Archaeal small subunit ribosomal RNA", at positions 11 to 879 of the family's 1478-position model. Lineage: Archaea; Methanobacteriati; Methanobacteriota; Methanomicrobia; Methanomicrobiales; Methanomicrobiaceae. The record is from RNAcentral.
AUCCGCCAGAGUCACUGCUAUCGGGUUCGAUUAAGCCAUGCGAGUCGAGAGGGUUCAGCCCUCGGCGUACUGCUCAGUAACACGUGGAUAACCUGACCUGAGGAAGGGAUACACUAGAAACUGGGAAAAUACAUAUAGUUACAAUGCUGGAAUGCUCGGUAACUCAAAGUUCCGGCGCCUCAGGAUGGAUCUGCGGCCGAUUAGGUUGUUGUUGGGGUAAUGGCCCAACAAGCCGAUAAUCGGUACGGGUUGUGGGAGCAAGAGCCCGGAGUUGGAUUCUGAGACACGAAUCCAGGCCCUACGGGGCGCAGCAGGCGCGAAAACUUUACGAUGCGGGCAACCGUGAUAAGGGAACCUCGAGUGCCUGUAUAUGCAGGCUGUCCAGGUGUCUAAAACACACCUGAAGAAAGGGCCGGGCAAGACCGGUGCCAGCCGCCGCGGUAAUACCGGCGGCUCGAGUGGUGGCCGCUUUUAUUGGGCUUAAAGCGUUCGUAGCUGGGUUGUUAAGUCUCUUGGGAAAUCCGGCGGCUCAACCGUCGGGCGUCUAAGAGAUACUGGCGAUCUUGGAACCGGGAGAGGUGAGGGGUACUUCGGGGGUAGGAGUGAAAUCCUGUAAUCCUCGAGGGACCACCUGUGGCGAAGGCGCCUCACCAGAACGGCUUCGACAGUGAGGGACGAAAGCUGGGGGAGCAAACCGGAUUAGAUACCCGGGUAGUCCCAGCCGUAAACGAUGUGCGUUAGGUGUAUCGACGACCACGAGUCGUCGAGGUGCCGAAGGGAAACCGUGAAACGUACCGCCUGGGAAGUACGGUCGCAAGGCUGAAACUUAAAGGAAUUGGCGGGGGAGCAC